AACGAACGCUGGCGGCAUGCCUAACACAUGCAAGUCGAACGAGACCUUCGGGUCUAGUGGCGCUCGGGUGCGUAACGCGUGGGAACCUGCCCUUAAGUUCGGAAUAACUCCCCGAAAGGGGUGCUAAUACCGGAUAAUGUCUUCGGACCAAGGAUUUAUCGCCUUUGGAUGGGCCCGCGUUGGAUUAGCUAGUUGGUAGGGUAAAAGCCUACCAAGGCGACGAUCCAUAGCUGGUCUGAGAGGAUGAUCAGCCACACUGGGACUGAGACACGGCCCAGACUCCUACGGGAGGCAGCAGUGGGGAAUAUUGGACAAUGGGCGAAAGCCUGAUAAAGCAAUGCCGCGUGAGUGAUGAAGGCCUUAGGGUUGUAAAGCUCUUUUACACGGGAUGAUAAUGACAGUACCGGGAGAAUAAGCUCCGGCUAACUCCGUG
RNAcentral lists this ribosomal RNA (433 nucleotides) under uncultured bacterium. RNAcentral's name for it is "partial 16S ribosomal RNA". It matches the Rfam family "Bacterial small subunit ribosomal RNA", at positions 29 to 507 of the family's 1533-position model. The record is from RNAcentral.